RNAcentral lists this ribosomal RNA (451 nucleotides) under uncultured bacterium. RNAcentral's name for it is "partial 16S ribosomal RNA". It matches the Rfam family "Bacterial small subunit ribosomal RNA", at positions 28 to 507 of the family's 1533-position model. The record is from RNAcentral.
AGCGAACGCUGGCGGCAUGCCUAACACAUGCAAGUCGCGCGGGGGGGCUUCGGCCUCCCAGUGGCGGACGGGUGAGGAACGCGUAGGGACCUGUCGAGGGGUGGGGGAUAACCGCGGGAAACUGCGGCUAAUACCGCAUGACGCCGCGGCGUGACAGCCGGGGCCAAAGGCGAAAGCCGCCCGCCGAGGGGCCUGCGUCCGAUUAGCUGGUUGGCGGGGUAGCGGCCCACCAAGGCGUCGAUCGGUAGCUGGUCUGAGAGGGUGAUCAGCCACACCGGGACUGAGACACGGCCCGGACUCCUACGGGAGGCAGCAGUGGGGAAUAUUGGACAAUGGGCGCAAGCCUGAUCCAGCAAUGCCGCGUGGGUGAAGAAGGUCUUCGGAUUGUAAAGCCCUUUCGGCGGGGACGAUGGUGACGGUACCCGCAGAAGAAGCCCCGGCUAACUUCGUG